Molecule: small nuclear RNA, 183 nt
Organism: Tritrichomonas foetus
Lineage: Eukaryota; Parabasalia; Tritrichomonadida; Tritrichomonadidae
Rfam family: U2 spliceosomal RNA
About the family: U2 is a small nuclear RNA (snRNA) component of the spliceosome (involved in pre-mRNA splicing). Complementary binding between U2 snRNA (in an area lying towards the 5' end but 3' to hairpin I) and the branchpoint sequence (BPS) of the intron results the bulging out of an unpaired adenosine, on the BPS, which initiates a nucleophilic attack at the intronic 5' splice site, thus starting the first of two transesterification reactions that mediate splicing.
Source: Rfam
UUUGCACUCAUGGCGAUUCGCUAUGAAUAAGUGUAGUAUCUGUUCUGAAUCGCUUGACAGCGGUUCGCCUGGUACGUGCCGGGCGCCCUGUUCAAACGAAUUUAUUUCUUCGCCUUUUAGCUACUGGCUAAGGGUGGUUGUUGCCCUCCUCCUUACACGCCCGAGGAGGUGCGACAAUAAUUU